Molecule: ribosomal RNA, 111 nt
Filed under: Prolemur simus (greater bamboo lemur)
Lineage: Eukaryota; Metazoa; Chordata; Mammalia; Primates; Lemuridae
Source: RNAcentral
GUCUAUAGCUGUACUACCCUGAACACGCCCGGUCUCAGAAGCUAAGCAGGGUUCGGCCUGGUUAAUACUUGGAUGGGAGAGUAGAUGGGUGGUUACCAGAGGCCAGGAAGU